UACGAAGGGGGCUAGCGUUGUUCGGAAUUACUGGGCGUAAAGCGCACGUAGGCGGAUAUUUAAGUCAGGGGUGAAAUCCCGCAGCUCAACUGCGGAACUGCCUUUGAUACUGGGUAUCUCGAGUAUGGAAGAGGUGAGUGGAAUUCCGAGUGUAGAGGUGAAAUUCGUAGAUAUUCGGAGGAACACCAGUGGCGAAGGCGGCUCACUGGUCCAUUACUGACGUUGAGGUGCGAAAGCGUGGGGAGCGAACAGG
RNAcentral lists this ribosomal RNA (253 nucleotides) under uncultured prokaryote. Its description in RNAcentral is "partial 16S ribosomal RNA". It matches the Rfam family "Bacterial small subunit ribosomal RNA", at positions 524 to 776 of the family's 1533-position model. The record is from RNAcentral.